GCCGUUGCAAUAGCCUAACUAUUUAAAAAAAAAAAUGAGAGCUAUUGCAACGGUAUGUGUUGUAUUAUGAAAAAUUUAGAAGCGCGCAUUUCUUCCCUCUAUUUUUUUCACCUAAUAUUUGAACAAUACUUCUCUUUAAUUUGCUUCCCUCUAUUCACAAUUCUCAAGUACAGUACCAUUUUCCCCCUUUUCUCCAAUUUUCCCCAUUCUCACCUUAAUUGAUUAUAGAGGACCAUUUUCACAGUAGAUGAGAAGGAGUACGUUUUUGUUGUAGUUGUUGCAUCUGAUUUAAAACCCGGACCUCAAAACUACCAACAAUGGCGCAACCACCGCCUGCACCACCACCGCGCUCAUAUACCAACCUCUUCGGCGACCCAAUCUACGAUUUAACCCCUUUAUGUUUCAAGAACAACCUCUUUCUCCCUCCUUUCGACUCCGAAUCCUACAUCUCUAACCUUCAAACCCAGUCCUCUCUCGCUGCACUCAAUUAAUCUCAAGUUACUGGUAUGUAUUUUGAAACAAUUAAAUUUAUUCUAGUAUAAUUUGUUGAAAAUGGCUCUAUUUAGUUGUUAAAUGCUAUAAUUUCUCAAAAAUUAAGCUACUAUUUGUUUAAUUAGGGUUUUCGUAAGUAAUUGCUUCAAUAAUUCUGAUGUCAUCAAUUUUGUUAAAUUAAUUUUGCAUUUUUGCUGGUUUGAUUGAGAGAAAGAGAACGAUUAAGGUGAGCAAUCUUCUUAAUACUCUUCCUGUUCUACAGUCUUACCGUAGUACUACAUUUUUUUUAAUCUUAUUUAUGGUUUCCUUGCGUUUUGUUUAAAUUUUUGUGUUUUCAAUUUUUCUGAUUCUGCUCAAUUUUUUUUAUUCUUUACUAUUCAAUUGAUCUAAAUGUAUUGGCUGACGAGAUCAUUGAAUUGUUUGUGAGCUAAUUGCAUCCCACCAUCCCACUAUUGAGUCUUCAGAAGCAGGUGCAUGAGCAGUUGGUAUGCUGGAACCUACAGGUUCUGCUUUUUGGCUAAUACCUUGUAGUUUUUUUCGUAGUAUCCUUUUUAACUUUAGUUGUUUAGUGUAUGUUUGGCUUUAGGCUGUACUAGUUCUGUGGCUUUCUUUUUGGUGAAUGUUUUAUUUCACAGCAUGCAUAUUCUCUUAUGAUUACCGAUCUUCCACUGCUCUCCUUUUGAACACUUCCCUCUUUCAAACAAAAAAUGAAAUAGAGGGUCGUAAUUGCUUGAAAACCAAACCCGAUUUCCUCGGCUUUCUGUAAUUCCUCAAUUUUCACCCUUUGAUUUGGAUAAUGAAGAGUCAAUGAUAGAUUGAUAGUAGUCUUAGUAGGUUCUUAAUUUUUCUCUUCAAUGUGAAUUAAGGCAACGACACUUGAGCGAUAUCAAUGUCUCAUGCUUUGGUGUGUCAACCGGAUUUAUGGAAGUUGCUCACUAGGACAGUGAUGUAUCAUACUAUAGCAUUUCUGCCUAACUUACUUUGCCUAUUGAAAAUGUAGAAUAACAUGCUCAGAAAUACAACAAGGUUCAGUACACUUGUUGAAUUGGUCCCCGCAAAACUAUGAGGCUAGGGCGGGAUGAAAAUUAGAGGUAAAUUUAGGUGCAUGGAUGCAAACUAGUGUCAAGUAAAUCUAAUAAGUCAUAAAAAUAAUAUGCCAAGAAUUUGGGCAUCUUAAUAUGAACAUCUUGCAUUCUUGUCAAACUUUUGGGACGGUAGGUAGAGCCAAGAAAAAAUCUCUUGGUAAACCGCAUGCUCAAAAGGUACUGUAUAUAUUAGGCCCAGCUUUUUAGUUGAGGUUUCUAAUCUUACUUAAACAAGUAGUAUAUCAUAUCGAUGACUAUUUCAUGGUUUUUUUUUCUGUAAGUUCAUGAGCUCAUCAGAACACUUAGUCUUACAUAGUUCAAUAUACUGUCAUGUAUGAGCUUGUGUCAGAAUGUUGGAAAAAGAUAUUAUACCUCCUGUUUUUAUGCCUAGUUGGUAUUUUAACUUGUCAUGGCUGUCGUAUGAGAAGAAAUGGAGAAUGCAACAUGCAUAUAGAGUUACGUUGGUUCUGAUGUUCUGAUGUUCUGUACUUUUUGUUGAUGCCUCUGUUUAGUAUUAUUGAGUCUGUGUUUGUUUACGUUGCAUAAAAGUGGUUGCACUCGUACUGUACAUCGUAAUUUUUCUCUAGGUGUUUCGGGGUGCUGGUUGUUCGUGUAAGUUGUACCCUGUUGUAAGUACAAUAGGAUGCAUUGUUCAGUAAAUUAAGACAACUAAUUUUCAUACUGAAACUGAAGUUAACUAGCUACUUAGACUCUCAAGUAACGAGUUUCUUGCCUUUUUCAUACGAACCCCUUAAAGACUCAUUUCUAGUUGCUCUUCUAGAGAUUGCAGCUCCUCUAUGUUUAGACCGGAGAGCUUUUGUCCCAUAAGUUGCCUGCCUUAUCAGAAUGGAAAUGAAGUCCCUAAAUAAGGGUAUAUGAACUCUUUGUUUUAACUACUCUUUUAUAUAUUCAUUGAACUACUACACCAAAUCAUAAUUACCCAAAUGCCUCUUAAGUUUUCUAUUUAAGGCAAACAGUUUCCGCAAAUAUGGUUUAUCUUGAUUUGUAUUGUUUAUUUGAUGGUGGCUCUUAAAAUACUAGAAGAAUGAUUAUACUUUGAUAUGGAUUUUCACCUUCUUCAUUCUGGUUAAAGCUAUAUCUUGUUUGAGAUUGUUUUAGUAAUAAAAAGGGUGAACUAAAAUCCAGAUUCUUCGGUUGUGCAGAAAGUUUGAGGGGUUUAGUAUUAUUUAGAGCUAGAUUCUUCAAGUUGUGCAGAAUUUGAGGGGUUCAAAUUAUUUAGAGCAAGAUUCUUCAAGUUUUGCUGAAUUCCUCUCUCAGUCUGCCACCUCCGACUGCGCAGCGGCGCCUUUGCGUUAAUUGAUAGCUCCAAUGGCGUUUCGAGGUGUGGGUUUUCAAUUGACAGCAACUAUAAACUCGGAUAAGCAGAGGUAAGCAAUUUGAGUUAGUGGUUGCAGUUUGCUAUGGUCUAAUUGUAGCUUAAUUGGGGUAUUCUGGUUUUGCUUAUGAUUAGUUAUUGUUGCUAAUUAAUCAGAGAGUGUUUGCAAUUUAGUCUGAGCUAAUUGUAAUUUGAAUUGGUAAUUAUCUAUUUUGAUUUAUAAUUAGGUUGCUGUUGAGUAUUUCUAAUUGUUUCAUGCAUUGUUUUUGGGUUAAUAGUUUAGUUAUUGCUGUUAAAUAAUCAGAGAGUGUUUGCAAUUUAGGCUGACCUAAGUGUAGUUUGAUUUUUUUUUUUAACUAUAAUAAAUAGUUUACCGUUCAGGAUUUCUAAUUGUUUCAUUCAUUGUUUUUGGGUGGGUAUGCGUUUAGCAAGGCCUUACUGGGUGAUGCGGAACUCAAGUUUUGCUUGUAUUUGUGGUGGGUGUGUGCUGCUUGGAUUAAGAUUGUUUUUUUUUGUGUGUGCCUACUGUCCUUUUUCUUUUGCUUUUGUGUCAAUUGAGGUCGUUGCUUGCUGGAUUUUUACUGUUUAUGGUUGGUGAUGGAAACUACUCUGUUGGAAAUAUGAUUUAGAAUCCCAAUUUUGGGUAGAAAAAGCUUGGCCAGUUUUUAAGGCCUUUUCACAUCUUGUCUUUUUCUAGGGAAGGAGUUAGCUUUAAGAGGGUCGGUUUACCCUUACUAUAUAUAUGACCACUCUCUUUUGAGUUGAGCUAUCUGUUGUUAUCUUCACUGAUCAAGGUGGUUCAGGUGUUGUUGUGCUAUAUAACUUGGUGCUCGUUCUACUCAGAUUUCCGCAGGUAAGAAGCCGCUGGUUAUACAAUGAAAAAUAAAAAAUAUCACCCCUCUGAGUGAAUGGGCAGCGUAUAAUUUUCUUCACCCUAAUUUGUAUGAAGAUGCUGAAUUUACUUCUGAGAUGAAGCGAAAUUGGGUUUAUAAUUUGAGUAUUCCUCAAUUUUCUUACUUACUCUCCAAGAUCCGCUCUCUUCAUACUUUAAUUUAUAAGGAUAUAGAGCUUUCUUAUAGGAUACCUCAUGCCUGUGAUGUUUGGAUUAAGAGACAGAAUGACAGGAAAUUUCCAUACCAAGAGAAGCAUGUCCGCCAACAGGCAUCGAUUCUUGGCAACUUGGAGGAUUUUGGGGUUUUGUCUGAGCAAUACUGUCAAUCUGAUCUCUCUGUUGUUGUUGAGUUUGGAGCUGGCAUGGGUUACUUAACCCAAAUAUUAGCUGAUUUUUAUGGGAUCAAUAAGGUCUUUUUGGUUGAGCGUAAGGCAUACAAGCUAAAGUAUCUUAAACUUUAGGCUGAUCGAAGUCUACCACAGAUAGACAACUUAACAUUGGAGCGUUUGAGAAUUGACCGUAAGGUUUUCCUAAAACCUCAUGUCUGGUUUUUUGAGGCCUUUAUCCUCGUGUGAGCUAUGUUAUGUUUUUGUAUAGUAACUUAUUGUUGCAUUACCUAGAAAUAUCCUCUUCUGAGCUUUGUUAUGCUUUAGUACAUAAAAUAAUCUAUAUGCAUACAACAUGAUCAUAAAACAUAAUUGACUUCAAAACCAUACUAUUGUUUUGUGAUACAAUUAACUAAACUUAUUGUUGCAUUACCUAUAAUUGUUGCUGAAGUGGCGUUAACCUAAUUUUCAUAGUGGAAAUGUCUUUGUGAAAAACUUAUUAACCUGUGUCAUUAUUAAUACUGCUCUUAUUUUCUUUUUUUUCUUUGGGGUUCAGCAUCCUGAUGAUUUACUUAAUCCCCACCCUUGCACCUAGAGGGGCAGAAUAACACGUAGUAUAUAUUGUCCUUAGCGUGAUCUGCUAUAUUUAGUAUCUUUGAAUGUUAAACCUACCAUACACAAUGAAUUCAGUUUACUUUCUCUACUAUUAAUCAGAUAUCAAAUGAAAUUUGUAUGAGGCUUGACUCUCCUUCAGUUAAGUCGCUUGGGUAGGCUAAUUGAUGCUUUCAUACUGUGUUUUGUCCAUGUUAUUUAUAACCAGAAUUCCAGCUUACUUGCAGGAAGAAAUUGGAAAUAAAGAUUUUAACUGCAUAUGUUCUUGACAAGAUAUGCACAAGGUUACUACAAGAUUGUACGAAGUAUAGUGACUAGCCAUCUAACAAAUGGUGCAUAUAUGUUGGCGACUCUUAUUCAAGUUCCGGCUUUGUGAAGAUUUGGAUAUUUCGGCUUAUAUAUAUGUUGACAAUUUGUAUUUUGUACGAUCAAAUUAAUUAUCUAACUUUUAUUUAUUAUUAGUACGGUAUGUUAUAUCAAAAAUAGGCAAGUAAUAUUUUGUAAUGUACGUAUUUUGCAUUAUAAUUAUUAUAUAUAAAUGAUACUUUAAUUUGUUUAUGUUAGUAUAUUUAGAUUUGUACCGACUAAUUAAUAUUAUAUUACCAUUCCAUCCCAACAAAAAAAAA
Chenopodium quinoa (quinoa) is the source of this 5369-nucleotide RNA transcript. It is a transcript of the gene named tRNA:m(4)X modification enzyme TRM13 homolog, with no coding region annotated. Lineage: Eukaryota; Viridiplantae; Streptophyta; Magnoliopsida; Caryophyllales; Amaranthaceae. The transcript is spliced from 5 exons. The record is from RefSeq and is a predicted model, not a curated record.